GUCGAGGGGCAGCAGGAUGUAGCAAUACAUUGGCUGGCGACCGGCAAACGGGUGCGGAACACGUACACAACCUUCCUUUAAGUGGGGGAUAGCCCAGAGAAAUUUGGAUUAAUACCCCGUAAAAUUAUGAGAUGGCAUCAUUUUAUAAUUAAAGCUCCGGCGCUUGGAGAUGGGUGUGCGGCUGAUUAGGUAGUUGGUGAGGGUAACGGCCCACCAAGCCAGCGAUCAGUAACUGGUGUGAGAGCACGACCAGUCACACGGGCACUGAGACACGGGCCCGACUCCUACGGGAGGCAGCAGUAAGGAAUAUUGGUCAAUGGACGCAAGUCUGAACCAGCCAUGCCGCGUGGAGGAUGAAGGUCCUCUGGAUUGUAAACUUCUUUUAUCUGGGAAGAAAUGCAUUUUUUCUAAAGUGUUUGACGGUACCAGAUGAAUAAGCACCGGCUAACUCCGUGCCAGCAGCCGCGGUAAUACGGAGGGUGCAAGCGUUAUCCGGAUUCACUGGGUUUAAAGGGUGCGUAGGUGGGCAGUUAAGUCAGUGGUGAAAUCUCCGGGCUUAACCCGGAAACUGCCAUUGAUACUAUCUGUCUUGAAUACCGUGGAGGUGAGCGGAAUAUGUCAUGUAGCGGUGAAAUGCUUAGAUAUGACAUAGAACACCAAUUGCGAAGGCAGCUCACUACACGAAUAUUGACACUGAGGCACGAAAGCGUGGGGAUCAAACAGGAUUAGAUACCCUGGUAGUCCACGCCCUAAACGAUGGAUACUCGACAUACGCGAUACACAGUGUGUGUCUGAGCGAAAGCAUUAAGUAUCCCACCUGGGAAGUACGACCGCAAGGUUGAAACUCAAAGGAAUUGACGGGGGUCCGCACAAGCGGUGGAGCAUGUGGGGUAAUUCGAUGAUACGCGAGGAACCUUACCUGGGCUAGAAUGCUGGGAGACGGUGGGUGAAAGCUCACUUUGUAGCAAUACACUGCCAGUAAGGUGCUGCAUGGCUGUCGUCAGCUC
Molecule: ribosomal RNA, 1007 nt
Filed under: uncultured bacterium
Lineage: Bacteria
Description: bacterial SSU rRNA
Rfam family: Bacterial small subunit ribosomal RNA
Source: RNAcentral